UCGACGUACAAAGGGAUGCAACAUUAUUUUUAAUUUUCCAUCUGGUUUUCUUUUACACCAUAACCAUAGCGGGAAUUCUGCUCUGCGUAUAUAUUUACUCCAAUGCCAAAAAAUAUUAAUGAGAAUAAUAUUAUUUUUGCAGCUGUGGUGCGCCGCCUUUAAGUGACUCGUCCACGCAACAGCGUAGACCGACGUCAAGGAAGUGGACAGAAGAAAACAGCAACAUCAGCAGAAAUGGUUCGAAAAGUAAAGAAGCGACUUGAGCGAAACCCGCGUCGUAGUGGCCGAAAAAUGGCUCGUGAUCUGAAAAUAUCGCAAUAUUCCAUUCACAAAUAUUGAAAAAUGAGCUCGGGGUAAAGCCAUUGAAAGAGUGCAAGAACUUACACCGCAACAGAAAUAAAAUAGACUCAAUAGAGCUAAAGAGUUGCUUCACUUGGCCGAAAGUGGUGAACUGCCGAACUUGGUUUAAUCCGAUGAGAAAACAUUCGUUGUUCAGUACACCUAAGUCUGUUUUUACACGGUCUUUUUGUACACGGUUUUGAUAUAACACGGUUUGAAAAUUGAAUACUUUUAAUUUAUUUACACGAUUUUAUUCCAUUUAGCACGAUUUGAAAUUUUAUGUACUUAAAUUUUUUGUCAAAUUUAAUUUUUGCGAAGUAUGUUCAUAUCACAAAAAAGUAUUUAUGAAAGAAAAAAGUCUGAAACCAUCGAUAGUAUCGAUAGUUUGCGAACACUAGCUUAAAGAUUUAAGUGAAUUCCCCUUUAGCGCGUACAAUUUUUACUGGUCAAAGCAAAUGUGAAUAGCACUAUGUGCAUACAAUAAAAUUUACUGGUCAGAGCAAUUGAAACGUGUUAAUAUUUUGUGAACUGUUAAUGCAAUAAGACGUGUUUGGUAAAGAAAAAAAUAAAAAUUCUUGUUUUUCACUAAUUUUAAUAGGUUUUAGAGAUUAGGAACAAAUCACCCAUUUUUGUAUAAGAUCAAUGUCUUUUUUACACGGCUUCUUCUGGAACCAAUCUACCGUGUAAAAACAGACUUAGGUGUAGUUUGUAAACUAACAAAAUGAUCGUUUCAACCCAAGCGCCGGCCAUGGUGAUGGUGUGGGCCGCCAUAACAGCCGGUGGUCGCUCUCCGCUCGUAUUAAUCGACUGUGGCAUCAGAAUAAAUGCCGAAUAUUAUCGCGCAAAUAUUAUGGAGGGUGUAUUAAAGCAUUGGGCACAAAAACAUUUUGGCCGCAGACCUUAGACAUUCCAACAGGACUCCGUACCAUCGCACUCAGCACGCACCACCCAAGAAUGGUUACAAAAUGAGGUUUCUCGCUUCAUUUCUUGCUCACAAUGGCCACCAAAAUCUCCGGAUACCAAUCCGUUGGACCAUUGUGUCUGGAGUAUUUUGGAAAGCAAGGUUGGCACUAAAGAAUACCAAAUUGUCGAUCACCUCAAGCAAGCGCCUCGCCGGGAAUGAGCCAAAAUACCACAGAGUAAGAUUUGGGCAGCGUGUGACGGUUUCAUUGACCGUUUGAAGGCCAAUUCGUGCCAAAGUUAUCGCUGAUUUUCCAGCCAAAUGUAAAAAGGGCAGAUACUACAACAAGGCGCUUAAGUGUCAACUAUACUUGAGAGGAUAUUAAAUCUGUCCAACAUGUCUGGGGAUAGCAGAUCAGUGAGGAACUUUCAUGACAGUCUUCAAUUUAACAGAAUUGAAUUGGUACAUUCACUUCAACAUGUUCGAGAAUUUUGUUGACCCAACGUUGCUAGGGUACAAUGUUCUCUUAAUGGAAGAGACGUUAAAAUUCUACGAAAUAUAACACAGUUUGAUUGUACACUAUCUCAGCAGAGAUCAGGCAGGAACUUGGCAACACAAGUUAAUCUGCCAAAAAUUACAAUCCCUCAAUUCGAUGUGGCAAACAUUUUUGGGAAAAUGAUCAACGAUCAGGCUUUGACUGAGGCGAAUUACGACAUUGCUCGGAAGGUAUUCCGAGACAGAUACAACAACAAGAGCGCUUAAGUGACAACUAUACUUGAGAGGAUAUUAUAUCUGUCCAACAUGUCUGGCAGUAGCAAACAACAGCUAUUUAUCAUCAUACCAUCAGCCAUCUAGCUCUUUGCGUUGGAAUUGAAGUAGCCAUCAACUUUCGCCACUACCCAUACCUACACCCCGGCAAUCAGUGUCAUCAUUAUACGUCAUUGACCAAACAGUUUAUUGAACGUUCCCCGUUCAACGUGGAGGGAGAAUGUUCAAAAGAACAUAUUUUUUGCAUAUACACUUUAUACUUUUUUUGUUAUUUAAUAGUUUUAUCAUAUGUCAGCAUAUAGCUGACCUAAAUAAUUUUAAUGCUUGCUUUGAGCAGGUCAAUAACCUAAAUAAAGAAACACCUCGAUUUGUUUUUGCUUACUUACAA
Molecule: long non-coding RNA, 2396 nt
Organism: Musca domestica (house fly)
Lineage: Eukaryota; Metazoa; Arthropoda; Insecta; Diptera; Muscidae
Exons: 2
Source: RefSeq, a predicted model, not a curated record